ACGCCGCCGGACGGUAACCGACCGGCCGGCCGUAGGUGGUGAGUCGUGUAUUAGUUGGGUACGUAACGGGUCCGUAGACCGGUUUGGUCAGUCCUCCGGGAAAUCUGAUAGCUCAACUAUUAGGCUUUCGGGGGAUACUGCCAGACUUGGAACCGGGAGAGGUAAGAGGUACUACAGGGGUAGGAGUGAAAUCUUGUAAUCCCUGUGGGACCACCUGUGGCGAAGGCGUCUUACCAGAACGGGUUCGACGGUGAGGGACGAAAGCUGGGGGCACGAACCGGAUUAGAUACCCGGGUAGUCCCAGCCGUAAACGAUGCUCGCUAGGUGUCAGGCAUGGCGCGACCGUGUCUGGUGCCGCAGGGAAGCCGUGAAGCGAGCCACCUGGGAAGUACGGCCGCAAGGCUGAAACUUAAAGGAAUUGGCGGGGGAGCACAACAACGGGUGGAGCCCUGCGGUUUAAUUGGACUCAACGCCGGACAACUCACCGGGGGCGACAGCAAUAUGUAGGCCAAGCUGAAGACUUUGCCUGAAUCGCUGAGGAGAGGUGCAUGG
Molecule: ribosomal RNA, 552 nt
Filed under: uncultured archaeon
Lineage: Archaea
Description: bacterial SSU rRNA
Rfam family: Archaeal small subunit ribosomal RNA
Source: RNAcentral